GCUGGGUGUGGUGGCUCGUGCCUGUAAUCCCAGCUACUCAGGAGGCUGAGGCAGGAGAAUCACUUGAACCCAGGAGGUGGAGGUUGCAGUGAGCCGAUAUCUCGCCACCGCACUCCAGCCUGGGUGACAGAGUGAGACUCUGUCUCAA
RNAcentral lists this non-coding RNA (148 nucleotides) under Homo sapiens (human). Lineage: Eukaryota; Metazoa; Chordata; Mammalia; Primates; Hominidae. The record is from Rfam by way of RNAcentral.